GACGAACGCUGGCGGCGUGCUUAACACAUGCAAGUCGAACGGAAAGGCCCUGCUUUUGUGGGGUGCUCGAGUGGCGAACGGGUGAGUAACAGGUGAGUAACCUGCCCUUGACUUUGGGAUAACUUCAGGAAACGGGGGCUAAUACCGGAUCGGAGCUCCUGUUGCAUGGUGGGGGUUGGAAAUUUUCGGCGGUUGGGGAUGGACUCGCGGCUUAUGAGCUUGUUGGUUGGGUAGUGGCUUGCCAAGGCUUUGACGGGUCGCCGGCCUGAGAGGGGGACCGGGCACCAUGGGCCUGCGGGACGGACCAGACUGCUACGGGAGGCAACAGUGGGGAAUAUUGCACAAUGGGCGGGAGCCUGAUGAAGCAACGCCGCGUGCGGGAUGACGGCCUUCGGGUUGUAAACCGCUUUCGCCUGUGACGACGCGUGAGUGACGGUAAUGGGUGAAGAAGCACCGGCUAACUACGUG
This 468-nucleotide ribosomal RNA is filed under the name uncultured bacterium. Its description in RNAcentral is "partial 16S ribosomal RNA". It matches the Rfam family "Bacterial small subunit ribosomal RNA", at positions 28 to 507 of the family's 1533-position model. The record is from RNAcentral.